CCUGUGGGUGCCCACUGAUUUCUGGCUGAAACUUCUGAUUUCCUAAGGAAAUGGUCCCUGAUCCAGCCAGCAACAUGUUUUUCAUGAAGCAUGUAAUAUCCUGGCUGAGUUGGAAGGGAUGUUAGUUCAUCUAUCAUCUAUCAUCUCAUGGCGACAUCCAGAGAUUUUAAAAUAGGAGAAACCCCUUCAGAUUCAUGCUCUGCAGGACUGCCUGACAUCCUGGAUCUCAAUUGGAUAUUUUUAUCUUGAAUUUUUUUGGUCAAUCAUUUUUUCUGUGCACAAGCUUUGAGAGUCGAAACUGACUUUCCAGCAAAAUCAAUGGGGAAAAAAAACAAUAAAAUUCGUACUUGUUUAA
Non-coding RNA from Paramormyrops kingsleyae, 355 nucleotides. The record is from RefSeq and is a predicted model, not a curated record. Lineage: Eukaryota; Metazoa; Chordata; Actinopteri; Osteoglossiformes; Mormyridae.